GAUACCAGGGUUCCAAAGUCUUAUACCCACUUGAGCUUGCUCAAGAGUGGGUAUAAGACCUUGGAACCCGCCCAAAUAUUCGCAUAAAAGUGGGACGACAGUCCCACGAUAUGCGAAUAUUUGAUAGGAUUGCGGGAGCAGGUACUGCGAAGCAAUCCGUAGGUAU
Molecule: small RNA, 166 nt
Filed under: uncultured Acetatifactor sp.
Lineage: Bacteria; Bacillati; Bacillota; Clostridia; Lachnospirales; Lachnospiraceae
Description: Clostridiales-1 RNA
Rfam family: Clostridiales-1 RNA
Source: RNAcentral